AUGGGCCUCCUUUGCCAAGGAUUAGUUUCUCUUUUUUGUUUUUUUUAGAAAUUCUGAAUGUGUUGAAAAGGCUUUAGAGGGAUUUAAAAUAUAGGAAAUAACAAGGUCUGACUUAAAUUUACAAAAGAUCUCUCUAGCAGCUGAUGGGCGACAGUCUAUAGGGAGCAAGAGCAGAAGAUCUAUUCUCCUCAGGGCAGACAAUAGGCACCUUUCAAGGACGAGGCAAGUAAGGCCCAGAGAGCUGACAAGAUCUGUCCUAGCUCACUCCAUUUUGUACUUUUGGUUCCCAGACCAGUGGCCCUUUGUGGCUACACAUUCUCUAACUGAGGCACAACUGACCAGGCUCCAGGUGAAGCUUCUCGGCCUGGUAUGCAGAGAAGACGAAGCCCUUGGGGCAGCCCAGCACCCACCCUUGACAAUACUCCUGCUUCAUUACAGGUCCUGUUGUGCCCAACUCAUGAUUUAUCCAGGUCACACCAGUCUGGUCUGUCACAGUAAGAGCUGGCCCCUUUUCUUCAGGGCCACCAGGAAACACACCUUCAGGAAGCACCUUUUCUGUUCUAUCCCAAAGGGCACCAUCACAUACACUAUAAUAUGAAUCAUGACCCCCGGAGUUGUGUGGAGUUUCUGCAUCUCUCCCUCCCCACUGUGGCUACCCUCAUCCAGCAACCAUCCUGUCUCUCACCGGUAUUACCGCAGCUGAGACCCAGGUCUUAAGGAAGCUGAGACCCAGGCCAGCAGGGGCCUCACAGGUAGAAUGAAGCUUGGAAAAAGAGGAGGGUGUAAGACUCUGGAUGAAGCUGAGAGAUCCUUCCAUGCUUGGCUGAGAGACUACACAGACAUGAGCUUCAGGAGACUCCAAAGCCUCGGAUCCCCUUCUAAACUAGCACUGAAUUCUGAUUGGCUGUCUUUGCCUGCCUCAGUUUGUUCCUUUUACUGAUUGGCUAGGUUCUUCUGCCCAUGGCAGAGCCCUGCUCCAGCCACCGGAUCCUCCCACCUGCCACAGUGUCACCUGGGAUUGGCUGGGCUCUGAAAGGCCAGGCUGGCUUGACUCUUGCCAUCAUCAGAUUCUUCCUCAUUAAACAAAUGAAUCACAAUCCUAAUUAAUUUGAGCAACAGAAUUUAUGUAACUACUCCCAGCAGGAUGUCUGCUCUCAGUCAGCAGAGAGAUUACUUCCUCUCUCUGGGAAAUUCCAGCCUUGCUGGUCAAUAAGCCUUAAUGAUGACUGAAAUCUCCCAUCUGUCUCUGCUCAGGGCAGGUAACCCCUACUAAGCAGACACCCAGUUGGCUCGAGGCAGUACCCCGGGCACCGGCAGGACAAGGACAACGAUCUCCCAGCCUAGAUGUGUCCUGAGCCACAUGGAGCACACAGAUUACAGGAUCUGACUCCCAUUUGGGCCUUCCACCUCCGCUGGCCUAAGCAGUCAAGUGUCAGAGAGCACUGGACCUAACAGCUCCCUCACCAGAGCAGCUGUGAUUCCUUCUUCAUUUCCAGCAGGGAAGACCCAACAACUUUUAUAAUAUGGGAUUUCUUUUAUUCUCAUGAUAAUAAUGUUCAUUGUGGAAAAUAAAAAAAAAUGAUAAAAUAAAAAUCAGCCAGAAUUCCAACUUCUGGAGAUUUUGGUGUCUUUCUGCAAAGUUCCUAUGCACAUAGAUACUUUAUAAAAUUAUGAACAUACUGUACAUACAGUUUUGGAAUAUGCCUUUUUCCUUCUGUCAUGAAAAAGUCUUCAAAUGCCUUUUAACAGCUACACAAUAGUUCACUACAUGAACCAACUCAAAUGUAACUAUUUUUGGCCUUUUGUUAUAAAUAACACAAGAACCCUCAGUCUUUGUUACAUAAUGUCCUAACAGAGUAGGGGAAAUGCUCCCCAAUCCGGUGCAAUGUCCUGUGCCCAGGGAAACCAAUU
RNAcentral lists this long non-coding RNA (1911 nucleotides) under Homo sapiens (human). RNAcentral's name for it is "HSALNT0174836". The record is from RNAcentral. Lineage: Eukaryota; Metazoa; Chordata; Mammalia; Primates; Hominidae.